This 254-nucleotide ribosomal RNA is filed under the name uncultured bacterium. RNAcentral describes it as "partial 16S ribosomal RNA". It matches the Rfam family "Bacterial small subunit ribosomal RNA", at positions 524 to 776 of the family's 1533-position model. The record is from RNAcentral. RNAcentral also lists the same sequence under 1 other name.
UACGUAGGGUCCAAGCGUUGUCCGGAUUUAUUGGGCGUAAAGAGCUCGUAGGCGGCUCGGUAAGUCGGAUGUGAAAACUCGGGGCUCAACCCCGAGACGCCAUCCGAUACUGCUGUGGCUUGAGUCUGGUAGGGGAGAUCGGAAUUCCUGGUGUAGCGGUGAAAUGCGCAGAUAUCAGGAGGAACACCGGUGGCGAAGGCGGAUCUCUGGGCCAGUACUGACGCUGAGGAGCGAAAGCGUGGGUAGCAAACAGG